AGCUCCGAGGUGUAAUACAUAUCAAAUUGCAAACUUGAAGUAGUAGGCUAAUCGCCUGCCGGGGCUU
Molecule: transfer RNA, 67 nt
Filed under: Trachinus draco (greater weever)
Lineage: Eukaryota; Metazoa; Chordata; Actinopteri; Perciformes; Trachinidae
Also listed under: 1 other name
Description: tRNA-Cys
Source: RNAcentral